GUCGAUCAAUAAUGGCACUUGGCUGGGUCUGGAGUUCUCUUUGGGUAGUCAUAUUUGGUGGGUGGCUUUGGGCUAUCUCCAAGCACCUAUUUAAAACUUCCGUCUAGCUGUUGGUUUGUGGGUGAUAUGUCAUACUCCUUUUCAAUUUAGUACCCAGCAUAUGGAAUAACUUUGUCCAAAAUCUGCUCUUGAAGAUGCAAGUAGAAUUUGUCACAAGCACAAUGCAUCCCUUAUAGCAUAAGUCUUUUGAGUCCCGAUUGUAAUGAGCCACGGAGCUUGGUGCUUCCUCUAAUUUUUUUUUGUAUCUUACUGGUCUCCGAAUCUUCCUGCCAUUCCAUCUUAAUAUCCUCAAGGAAGUCGCUGGUUGGAAGUAAAACGACCAAAAAUUCAGCUUGCUCAGGUAGCUGCGAAAGCGCAUCUGCAACAACAUUCUCUUUCCAC
This 441-nucleotide long non-coding RNA is filed under the name Musa acuminata (dwarf banana). RNAcentral describes it as "long non-coding RNA (MACU_LNC011299)". The record is from RNAcentral. Lineage: Eukaryota; Viridiplantae; Streptophyta; Magnoliopsida; Zingiberales; Musaceae.